Molecule: ribosomal RNA, 372 nt
Filed under: uncultured bacterium
Lineage: Bacteria
Description: bacterial SSU rRNA
Rfam family: Bacterial small subunit ribosomal RNA
Source: RNAcentral
AACGAACGCUGGCGGCAUGCCUAACACAUGCAAGUCGAACGAGAUCUUCGGGUCUAGUGGCGCACGGGUGCGUAACGCGUGGGAAUCUGCCCUUGGGUUCGGAAUAACUUCGGGAAACUGAAGCUAAUACCGGAUGAUGACGUAAGUCCAAAGAUUUAUCGCCCAAGGAUGAGCCCGCGUAGGAUUAGCUAGUUGGUGAGGUAAAGGCUCACCAAGGCGACGAUCCUUAGCUGGUCUGAGAGGAUGAUCAGCCACACUGGGACUGAGACACGGCCCAGACUCCUACGGGAGGCAGCAGUGGGGAAUAUUGGACAAUGGGCGCAAGCCUGAUCCAGCCAUGCCGCGUGAGUGAAGAAGGCCUCGGUUGGUAAG